RNAcentral lists this long non-coding RNA (977 nucleotides) under Vulpes vulpes (red fox). RNAcentral describes it as "lncRNA (ENSVVUG00000009877.1)". Lineage: Eukaryota; Metazoa; Chordata; Mammalia; Carnivora; Canidae. The record is from RNAcentral.
CUACUACAUGCUUCUCCUGGACCCAUUCUACACCGCCAGGGCAAGCACGUACUCGCCUUAAAGUCUUCCUUCUGAACCUUGUUCCUUUACGUUUCUUUACACGUCAUUCCAACCUGUUACCGACUUUUGUGAUACAACCAGAACAUUUAAUGUCUCAUCUCUAUCUUGUCUUGCCCUUUGACUCUGUAUUUUUCACCAUUUUCUGAGCUAUAAACUUUACUUUGACUCUUCACAGCAAUUCUGCUUUUCUCCAAGUCCUACUGCAUUGGAUCACCUCUUCUAAAUGCUUUUAUUCUUUCAGUUUAGGGGUACGACCUGUCUGAUCCUGGCAUAACUCCCAGAGAUGGUACUUCCACCUUGCCCAGAGCAAGAGCUCCAUGGAGAAUGGCCAUAAAGAGUCACUCUGAAGCAGAUGAAAUCUCAGCAUGAGAGAGAGAUGAGUGUUCUAGUUGAAGUGAGGGCCAUGUUCCAGGAGACACAUCAGCUCUGCCCUUUCAGCUUCCACUAUACCUUUUCCAGGAGAACUUGGAUCAUUUCCACAUCAAGAAAUGCAGUUUGGAAACCCACUGGACCAGGAAAGCAAAGACACAGUCAUGAUGCAAAUACCCCAAGAGAUGUAAAAUGUCAACAAAAGGCACAAUAUAAGAAGGGAAUGAAUAAAGGCAGAGUCUGGACCCUAGUUCCCACUCUACUACUCUUUCUUUUUAGAAUGGAAUUGGUGAAGAGUGUUUGCGAGGAGAUUUAGCAGGUGUACAAGCCACUCACAGAGUCAGAGGAGCUCACAAGCCCAGUUCAGCAGACAUCCCCUGCACUUCCCUGCAGCUUCGGGAGACAUGGCUAGAAGCCUGUCCCAACCAUCCCAGUCAGUGAAAAUGUCUUGAGAAGAGAGGAGCUAAACCCACGGUUUGGUUUUCUUACCCACUUUGCACUCUCAAAGAGGGUACCAAAUAUAGCAGCUCAAUAAAUAUGGUUUAAAA